UACAGAGGGUGCGAGCGUUGUUCGGAAUUAUUGGGCGUAAAGCGCUUGUAGGCGGCUUGUUAAGUUCCGUGUGAAAUCCCCAGGCUUAACCUGGGAAGUGCGCGGAAAACUGGCGAGCUUGAGUGCCGGAGAGGGUCGCGGAAUUCCCGGUGUAGAGGUGAAAUUCGUAGAUAUCGGGAGGAACACCAGUGGCGAAGGCGGCGACCUGGA
RNAcentral lists this ribosomal RNA (210 nucleotides) under uncultured bacterium. RNAcentral describes it as "partial 16S ribosomal RNA". It matches the Rfam family "Bacterial small subunit ribosomal RNA", at positions 524 to 733 of the family's 1533-position model. The record is from RNAcentral.